AACAAUACAAUACAUACGUACAGCAGUAGCAAUUCCAGCCAACCCCCAUCCCCUUUCCCUUCACAAUUCCAACACUACAAUACGAUAAACAACAUCCAUACAGUACCAAAACAGCCCCUGCCAGCGUCUUCCUCUUCCCCAGACGCAAAUCCAAAAAUGUCAAAGCAACAACAGUCCAAAUCUCUGCAACAGCCGCCCAUCUUAAUCUUGUCAUCCGGAUUUCGUGGGAUUUGGGUUGAUUUCUUGUAAAAACGAGCAGCUCUUUGGUUCUUGAAAUUUUUUGAAUUGAGGAUUGAGUGGGAGAAUUCCUAUUCUAUCCUUUCCCCCGAGAAUCCGAGCCCUAAUUCCCCCAUCUAUAUAAUACCCCUUCUUAUUCAUUGUUUAGGAGGUUUUUUGGUUCUUGUUUUUUUUUUUUUUUGGAAUUUUUUCUUGAACAAUUAAUUUUUGCACUUGAGAAAUUUGGAAUGCAUUUUUAGUUCUAGGUUCUGAAAGGGUCUUCGUUUAAAAUCGAUUUGGAUAUUCUGAUUUUAUCGCUCGAGUUUUGAAGUAAGUGGUGAAGUCGCUUUGAGCUUGUAGCCGUCCCGAUUCGCUGCUCUCGAAAAGGUAAACCCCCUUUUGAUUUUAACUCAUUUCAGUUUGUUUUGUUGCUUCCUCGAUUGACUUUGUUCUUUGCUUGGCUCAUGGCUGUUGUAUGAUAAAAGGUUGCUUGGUUUCGAAUUAAUGCAUAUUCGUCGAUUACCACUUGUUAUCGUCCUUAUGAUUUAUUACAUCUUGAAUAGUGCACCAGGUUACAUCUACUAUAUGUUUUGGACGUUUUUGAGUAUGUGAAAUAAGUUUGAAUUCAUUUUUGUGUUCUCAUUUCCUUUAUUAUUAUUUUUACUAUAAGUAGGCUAAUUCUUGAGCAUAAGUUAAGCAUUUGCCUGCUGAUCAGUUUCUGGUUAUUUUUUAUUUUUUAUUUUUUUAUUUUUUUUUUGCUAUCUUAUUGGCGUUUGUUUCCCAUAAAUGAAUCGAUCUUGAUGGCUUGUGGGUUCUAGACUCUUGACGUUGUAUUAGAGUGAGUAUGCAUAGUUAUUUGAUUUUUGUGCUCAAAUGAACAUCAUCUCGUGAUUUGAUCAAAUUAGAUGAUUUAUGGUUUGAUAAUUUCUAUAAGCAUCUCUUUGUUAUUGAUUUGCCUUGGUCUUCAUAUUAAAGUUUUUUUUAAGUUUCCACUUAAAUAGUGUAUGAUCCUUGUAUUUUGCAAAUAUGUUAUUUCCUCUUUGCCUUAAUAUGGAGUCACUUGUUUACUUGUUCAAGUCCACCAUUGCUAUUGAUUUUCUCUAUUGUGUUGGCCCCUUUGUGGAUGGUAGUAGUGUUCCAACUUUUUGUUUAAUGCUUGAGAGGUGUCGGUGUUUUGUUCAUUGUCCAUUUCACAUCGCUAUGGUUGUUUUCUUCCUCUUGUGUAUUUUGUUUUCUUUUAUAUAGUAUUGUUUUCUUGUUAAGAGAAUAGGACUAGUGCAUUCGCUUUUGUGUAACUUCCUCACUUACUUACUUUAAGGGAUGUUUAAAUAUUGCUCAUCAAAAGUUUAACAACUCCAAUUUGCUUUCUGUUAGCAUGAGUUUGAAAUGUUUUGUUAGAUAGUUGCACUAGUGUGUAGUUAUUUUAUUAAAUUGUCAACAUAUAUUAAUUAUCAUAUGCAAGGUAAAUCCAUCCGUAUUGUGCUUAAGCUAGGAGUCAAAUUUUUGCAAGUAUGAGUCGCUUGAAAUCUCAGUAUGUUGGUUCAUUUCAUCGAAUGUUUUCUCCAAUAUUAAAUUGUCAAUGGACGAUUCUUAUGUGUUUUGUUUUUUUUUUUGUUUUGUUUUUUUAUGUAUGUGAUCUAUCGAGGAGUCCUUUGGGACUUGGGCUUCUACCCUUUGCAUUACAAAUGGGCCAUUUAGGCCCAACGUUUUCCUUUAUCAAGUCAACCAGCUUAAAGUCGACGAACAGGUCUCAAAAAGUAUAAAAAGAGGUUGUAUACAAGAUGUAUACAGCUGUAUACACUUAUAUACAGGUAAAAAAUGUAGGAAUACAGGGAUGGGACGAAGUAUAUGUGUUUGGAAGCAAGAAAUACAUGAAAAGAGCUGAUAUACAUGCCGAUAUACACUGAUAUACAUGAGCUGUAUACCAAAAACGGGUUUUGUUUAAACCCCAAAAAACAGUAUGUUGGUUCAUUUCAUCGAAUGUUUUCUCCAAUAUUAAAUUGUUAAUGGACGAUACUUAUGUGUUUUUUUUGUUUUUUGUUUUGUUUUUUUAUGUAUGUGAUCUAUCGAGGAGUCCUUUGGGACUUGGGCUUCUACCCUUUGCAUUACAAAUGGGCCAUUUAGGCCCAACGUUUUCCUUUAUCAAGUCAACCAGCUUAAAGUCGACGAACAGGUCUCAAAAAGUAUAAAAAGAGGUUGUAUACAAGAUGUAUACAGCUGUAUACACUUAUAUACAGGUAAAAAACGUAGGAAUACAGGGAUGGGACGAAGUAUAUGUGUUUGGAAGCAAGAUAUACAUGAAAAGAGCUGAUUUAUAUGCUCAUAUACACUGAUAUACGCCCAGUGUAUACGCAAAAAUGGGAAUUGGAUUAGCCCAAAAUUCCAGCGAAUUUGGCCCAAAAGGAGGCCCAAAUUCAUUUUCUCCCUUACUCUUUAAUUAUUUAAUUGUGAUUAUUUAUUGUUUGUUGUUUAACUCUAACUUUAUAAUUUUUAAUUAACCUAAUUAGACUCCCCAAAAGAUAAGUUAUCUUCUUUGUGUUGGUUAACUUUU
Molecule: long non-coding RNA, 2767 nt
Filed under: Solanum tuberosum (potato)
Lineage: Eukaryota; Viridiplantae; Streptophyta; Magnoliopsida; Solanales; Solanaceae
Description: long non-coding RNA (STUB_LNC007600)
Source: RNAcentral